RNAcentral lists this long non-coding RNA (388 nucleotides) under Sinocyclocheilus grahami. RNAcentral's name for it is "lncRNA (ENSSGRG00000041654.1)". The record is from RNAcentral. Lineage: Eukaryota; Metazoa; Chordata; Actinopteri; Cypriniformes; Cyprinidae.
CCUAUUCAAACUGGCCCUGAGUUGUCUCAGUGCAGUUGCUGGGACAAUUCCUCCUGACCACCUUGACCUGAGCUGCACAGGAGGACGAGAGAGACACUCGGCGAUGGAUUCAGAGAGACGGUUUUGUCCUCGACCUCUGGACACCUCAAAGUUGUAUUGCUACUAUUACAGCAGUGGCAAACUCCGGUCCUGGAGAGCCGCAGCCCUGCAGAGUUCAGCUCUAACCCUAAUUAAAACUCACCUGCCUGUAGCUUCCAAUGUGUUCACUUAGAGAUGGCUGCCAGUCAACCAAUAAAGAAAAAGAGAUGACUACAAAGUAAUUUGUGUUGACAGACUGCCAUUACAUUUGCAUGUGAUUAUGUGGGUCAGGUUUUUCUUACAUAAGCCA